RNAcentral lists this ribosomal RNA (1372 nucleotides) under uncultured bacterium. Its description in RNAcentral is "bacterial SSU rRNA". It matches the Rfam family "Bacterial small subunit ribosomal RNA", at positions 28 to 1381 of the family's 1533-position model. The record is from RNAcentral.
GAUGAACGCUGGCGGCGUGCCUAAUACAUGCAAGUCGAGCGAACGGACGAGAAGCUUGCUUCUCUGAUGUUAGCGGCGGACGGGUGAGUAACACGUGGAUAACCUACCUAUAAGACUGGGAUAACUUCGGGAAACCGGAGCUAAUACCGGAUAAUAUUUUGAACCGCAUGGUUCAAAAGUGAAAGACGGUCUUGCUGUCACUUAUAGAUGGAUCCGCGCUGCAUUAGCUAGUUGGUAAGGUAACGGCUUACCAAGGCAACGAUGCAUAGCCGACCUGAGAGGGUGAUCGGCCACACUGGAACUGAGACACGGUCCAGACUCCUACGGGAGGCAGCAGUAGGGAAUCUUCCGCAAUGGGCGAAAGCCUGACGGAGCAACGCCGCGUGAGUGAUGAAGGUCUUCGGAUCGUAAAACUCUGUUAUUAGGGAAGAACAUAUGUGUAAGUAACUGUGCACAUCUUGACGGUACCUAAUCAGAAAGCCACGGCUAACUACGUGCCAGCAGCCGCGGUAAUACGUAGGUGGCAAGCGUUAUCCGGAAUUAUUGGGCGUAAAGCGCGCGUAGGCGGUUUUUUAAGUCUGAUGUGAAAACCCACGGCUCAACCGUGGAGGGUCAUUGGAAACUGGAAAACUUGAGUGCAGAAGAGGAAAGUGGAAUUCCAUGUGUAGCGGUGAAAUGCGCAGAGAUAUGGAGGAACACCAGUGGCGAAGGCGACUUUCUGGUCUGUAACUGACGCUGAUGUGCGAAAGCGUGGGGAUCAAACAGGAUUAGAUACCCUGGUAGUCCACGCCGUAAACGAUGAGUGCUAAGUGUUAGGGGGUUUCCGCCCCUUAGUGCUGCAGCUAACGCAUUAAGCACUCCGCCUGGGGAGUACGACCGCAAGGUUGAAACUCAAAGGAAUUGACGGGGACCCGCACAAGCGGUGGAGCAUGUGGUUUAAUUCGAAGCAACGCGAAGAACCUUACCAAAUCUUGACAUCCUUUGACAACUCUAGAGAUAGAGCUUUCCCCUUCGGGGGACAAAGUGACAGGUGGUGCAUGGUUGUCGUCAGCUCGUGUCGUGAGAUGUUGGGUUAAGUCCCGCAACGAGCGCAACCCUUAAGCUUAGUUGCCAUCAUUAAGUUGGGCACUCUAAGUUGACUGCCGGUGACAAACCGGAGGAAGGUGGGGAUGACGUCAAAUCAUCAUGCCCCUUAUGAUUUGGGCUACACACGUGCUACAAUGGACAAUACAAAGGGCAGCGAAACCGCGAGGUCAAGCAAAUCCCAUAAAGUUGUUCUCAGUUCGGAUUGUAGUCUGCAACUCGACUACAUGAAGCUGGAAUCGCUAGUAAUCGUAGAUCAGCAUGCUACGGUGAAUACGUUCCCGGGUCU